RNAcentral lists this ribosomal RNA (416 nucleotides) under uncultured bacterium. RNAcentral's name for it is "bacterial SSU rRNA". It matches the Rfam family "Bacterial small subunit ribosomal RNA", at positions 358 to 774 of the family's 1533-position model. The record is from RNAcentral.
GGAAUAUUGCACAAUGGGGGAAACCCUGAUGCAGCGACGCCGCGUGAGUGAAGAAGUAUUUCGGUAUGUAAAGCUCUAUCAGCAGGGAAGAAAUAAAGUCCUUCGGACUUUGGACGGUACCUGACUAAGAAGCCCCGGCUAACUACGUGCCAGCAGCCGCGGUAAUACGUAGGGGGCAAGCGUUAUCCGGAUUUACUGGGUGUAAAGGGAGCGUAGACGGCAGCGCAAGUCUGGAGUGAAAUCCCAUGGCUUAACCAUGGAACUGCUUUGGAAACUGUGCAGCUGGAGUGCAGGAGAGGUAAGCGGAAUUCCUAGUGUAGCGGUGAAAUGCGUAGAUAUUAGGAGGAACACCAGUGGCGAAGGCGGCUUACUGGACUGUAACUGACGUUGAGGCUCGAAAGCGUGGGGAGCAAACA